Molecule: long non-coding RNA, 1269 nt
Filed under: Sus scrofa (pig)
Lineage: Eukaryota; Metazoa; Chordata; Mammalia; Artiodactyla; Suidae
Description: lncRNA (ENSSSCG00005005331.1)
Source: RNAcentral
CCUACACCACAGCUCACGGCAACGCCGGAUCCUUAACCCACUGAGCAAGGCCAGGGAUGGAACCUGCAACCUCAUGGUUCCUAGUCGGAUUCGUUAACCACUGCGCCAUGACAGGAACUCCUACUGUAGUGUUUCUUUCCUAAGAAUUUAAUAUGUUUUUUUCGAUGGUAUUAGUAUAUUAAAAUUAGGAUUCUUUUAGGGUUCGGGUAAAUAUUGUGUAGGUUUUGAGUGUUCUGCCUUAUCAUCUCUCAUUGUGCAAGAUGUUUCCAGACCAUGAGUUUUUCAGGAAUACUUAUGUCCAGUUGUCAUAACCUCUAGCUUAUAGAGUAGGACUGUCCAAUAGAACUCUCUAUGAUGGUGAAAAUGUUUUAUGUCUGGCAUCUAAUACAGUAGCCAUUAGCCACAUAUAGCUAUUUCAUUUUAAGUUUAUUGGAUUAAAUACCAAAUUCAGGAGUUCCCGUUGUGGCGCAGCAGACUAGUAACCGUGAGGUUUCAAGUUUGAUCCCUGGCCUCGCUCAGUGGGUUAAGGAUCCGGCAUUGCCGUGAGCCGGGGUGUUGAUUGCAGACGUGGCUCGGAUCUGGCGUUGCUGUGGCUGUCAUGUAGGCUGGCAGCUGUAGUUCCCAUUCAACCCCUAGCCUGGGAACUUCCAUAUACCUUGGGUGUGGCCCUAAAAAGCAAAAAUAAAAAAGUAAAUAAAAAAAACCAGAUUCACUUUCUCGGUUGCACUAGCCAUAGUGCAAGUGCUCAGAAACCUCUCGUGGCUCAUGGCUCCCAUGCCGGACCGCACAGCUGUAGAGAGAGGCUGGCGCACGUAAGGAUAUGUGAACCCCUUGUAUUGAUUCCAAGCAUCCUGUUCUCAGCACUUUCCUGCCUCGAGGUUAGGAAUUUGCUCUGCAAAGGAAGUUCAAGUAGAGGUUCUAGGAGUGUGAGGAAUAUGGAACACUAGGGCCAACCUCUAAGAGGACAUAGCAGUGCCGUGAGCCUGGUAGGUUGAGAUGGCUCUCUAGGUAAAUAAUUCCCCAGAGCCUUGCCGUUGCCCAGCUGAGGACCACAACUGUAUUGAAUUUGCCUCUAUGGUUAUAUUUCAUUAUAUAACCCUAACCACACUGACCUGAGAGCAGGGAUUGUGUUUUAUAAUUCUGCAUCUUCCUUCGUGACUAACGCUUUAGUAACAUAUGUAUAGGAAAAGCAUCAUAAUUUGGCUUACAGACAGUGUUAUUCAUAUUUCAGCAGAAAUUGAGAAUAAUUCUUCAGUUUAAGUGAACUGG